This 704-nucleotide long non-coding RNA is filed under the name Nicotiana benthamiana. Its description in RNAcentral is "long non-coding RNA (NBEN_LNC013528)". The record is from RNAcentral. Lineage: Eukaryota; Viridiplantae; Streptophyta; Magnoliopsida; Solanales; Solanaceae.
CCACCAGGAACUACAGACAUCUCAAAACCCAGAAAAUAAUGCAAAGACCCAAGGUCUUUGAUCCUGAACUGAUCAUCCAGAAACAGCUUCAGGGCAGAAAGCUCAUCAUUGUCAUCCCCAGUACCAAGGUCUUUGAUCCUGAACUGAUCAUCCAGAAACAGCUUCAGGGCAGAAAGAUCAUCAUUGUCAUCCCCAUUGAUGAUAAUGUCAUCCACAUAGACUGCUACAAGAACCAGACAACCAGGCUGGCCUUUCAAACAGAGAAUAAUCAUUCAGAGAAUAAGUAUAGCGUCUGGAAUAAAGGGCAGAAGACAACUUAGCAUACCAUUGUCUGGAUGCCUGCCUCAACCCAUAGAGAGAUUUUUUCAACUUACAGACAAGAGGAGGAGAUGCAGAGGAAACAAAAUCAGAAGAAGAGACAGAAACAGAUUAACCUGGAGGAAGCUUCAUAUAAACCUCCUCAUCCAAAUCACCAUGCAAGAAAGCAUUGUUAACAUCAAGUUGGAAAAGUUUCCAAUGCUUCUUACAGAAACAGAUAAACCUGGAGGAAGCUUCAUAUAAACCUCCUCAUCCAAAUCACCAUGCAAGAAAUCAUUGUUAACAUCAAGUUGGAAAAGAUUCCAAUGCUUCUUAACAGCCACUGCAAUAAGACACUUAACAACAGACAUUUUAAUCACAGGAGAGAAAGUGUCAGUGAAAUCAAU